RNAcentral lists this ribosomal RNA (567 nucleotides) under Rhodoplanes sp. JA528. RNAcentral's name for it is "bacterial SSU rRNA". It matches the Rfam family "Bacterial small subunit ribosomal RNA", at positions 32 to 641 of the family's 1533-position model. Lineage: Bacteria; Pseudomonadati; Pseudomonadota; Alphaproteobacteria; Hyphomicrobiales; Nitrobacteraceae. The record is from RNAcentral.
UAUGACUCGUACAGGAUAAUUACACAUGCAAGUCGAACCGGUGUAGCAAUACACCAGUGGCAGACGGGUGAGUAACACGUGGGAAUGUGCCCUUCGGUUCGGAACAACCCAGGGAAACUUGGGCUAAUACCGGAUACGUCCGCGAGGAGAAAGAUUCAUCGCCGGAGGAGCAGCCCGCGUCUGAUUAGCUAGUUGGUGUGGUAAUGGCGCACCAAGGCGACGAUCAGUAGCUGGUCUGAGAGGAUGAUCAGCCACACUGGGACUGAGACACGGCCCAGACUCCUACGGGAGGCAGCAGUGGGGAAUAUUGGACAAUGGGGGCAACCCUGAUCCAGCCAUGCCGCGUGAGUGAUGAAGGCCCUAGGGUUGUAAAGCUCUUUCGGUGGGGAAGAUAAUGACGGUACCCACAGAAGAAGCCCCGGCUAACUUCGUGCCAGCAGCCGCGGUAAUACGAAGGGGGCUAGCGUUGCUCGGAAUCACUGGGCGUAAAGCGCACGUAGGCGGGUCUCUAAGUCGGGGGUGAAAUCCCGGAGCUCAACUCCGGAACUGCCCUCGAUACUGGGGACC